GUACAAUUCUCUCUUGUUGAGUGUGGGCAAAAGCUCACACUCAGUCCCAGGAUUAAGUUACUAAUCACUUGAUGUUGUCUUAAUUGAAAGGCAGAUUACCCAGACUAGUCCCUUCUGCCUUCUGGGCAGGUCACAUCUGAAAGAUUAUCCUCUUUGAAUCAGUUUGAAUGUUCUAGUGACCAGGCCACACAGUUUCUCUUGACAUUUAAAAAUAAAGCUUCCAGUCUUGUCACUAAUGGAUUUGGGGCCCAGUACCCUUAAAAUCACCUCAGAGCUGCCUGAAUCCAUAGACUACUUGCAGAAUCACUGGUUUUACUUGGAUCAAGCCAUCUGAGAAGUUUGGCUGAAAUAAAAACUCAAAGCCCCCACAAUAUUGAACCACCAUUCCAGACCCAGCCAAGGUUUGGAACAUAAAGUGAGCUGAAUGAAUCAGCCUGCAGGCAACCCAGAGAAAGUAAUUGUUCAUCCUAGCAGCACGGCUGCUUUUCUGCUUAGCAUCUGAACAAGUUAAUUUGGAAACACAGCCUUCUGGAAAGAAAUGGCGCUUCUCUCAGCAUCCCAUGGAUUCAUGAGCAGCUCCUUGAAUGCAAAUAUUGCCUGAUAUUUUCAUGGUAAGUUCUGAGCAAAUAGAUGCUGGACGAAUGAAUUACUGAAUAAGUGAGUACAUUUCUUUAUUUGCCAGGAAAGAAUUGGGCAUUGCUUGCAUAACUUCUGUCUAAGGCACAGGGGGUGGGUGCCAGUACAAAAGACAUUGUCCUGAAGAAAUUUACAUAGUAUAUCAAUAUUUUCCAUAUACUUAUACUAAUAUUUUUAAGUUUGCAUUGUUGUUUGUGUUACUUUUGUAAACCUUUUGUUUUUAUCCAGACUCAAAGCUCUUGGAGAGCGGAAACCAUGAUGAAUACUCCUUUAUUUAUUCCAUGUAACACUCCAGACAAGAGUAGGCUUUGAUUUUGUCAUAUUGAAUUCAAUUACCGGUUCAGUAGGAGAGACAAGAUAAAUUGGCAGGCAACCCAUGUGUAUCAGUAUACUCACAAAUGUGGAGUAUUAGGAUAUUAGGAUAAAAUAUGCUCAGAGUUGAGAGAAUUUAAUGAAACCCAUGAUACUUAGGUAGGACAAAUGUCUUCAGACAGAGAAAUUAAGGUUUACUAUCACAUAUGUGAACCCUGAAAGAGCCAGUCUGUAAAGCUGGAUCCUGAGUGGCUAACUGGGCCUAAAUUCAAAAUAGAGUGAAAUGACCGUUUGCUGACUAGAGGUCACACACAUAGUCUGUGUUCCUGGAGAACCCCCAUGCUCACUUAACUUUGGGAUUUGUAUAGCUGUCUGUUCCUAUUUAUGCCACCUGAAUCAACCAAUGGACAAUGACCUGCAUUGGCCAAUCAGAACUCAAGAAGCAUCAACCAAUUAGAACUAAGCAAGUUUGCAUUCUUUAUCCGCAUAAGUAAACCAAAGUGGGAAACCGGGCAGGCACUUUCCCUAUAAAAGACAGGCCCUCUCUUUGUUCUCUUGAAACAUGGCUGCAUCUCCCAGGUUUGCAAACUGUUAGCUGUAAUAAAGUCUCUUUCCCCUUUUCAAAAGAAAAUUAUUUUCAGUGGAUUCUGGUUCAACUUUCUUUAUGACGAAAUUCACCUGUGAAGUGAGGGAGAGGAUUGCAAAUAUAUGCCAAAGAUAACAAUAGGUCUGAAGGUGGCAUAUAGAAACAGUGGCAGGUAGAGACUCAAAUUCACAUAACUUAGCCAACUAAUGGACUAUCUCCUUCCUGUUUUUCUUUAACAAAUGCAAUUAAAAAAAUCACACAGGUUAGUCUUUUAACCAGUCAUGUGCCUGGUGCUGUAUCAAGAGCUGUGGAAAUAGCAGUAACAAAGCCAGGCAAAAUCACUGCCCUUAAGAAGCUUAUAAUCUGAAGACAUCACAGUGCGCAUAAAGAAUGAAACCAGGCCGGGUGCGGUGGCUGACGCCUGUAAUCCCAUCACUUUGGGAGGCCGAGGGGGGUAGAUCACUUAAGGGCAGGAGUUCUAGACCAGCCUGGCCAACAUGGUGAAACCCCGUCUCUACUAAAAAUACAAAAACUAGCCGGGCGUGGUGGCGGGUGCCUGUAGUCCCAGCUACUCGGGAGGUGAGACAGGAGAACGGCGUGAACCCGGGAGGGGGAGGUUGGAAUGAGCCGAGAUCGCGCCACUGCACUCCAGCCUGGGUGACAGAGCGAGACUCCGUCUCAAAAAAAAAAAAAAAAAAGAAAGAGAAAAAAGAAAGAGAGAGACAGAGAAGGAAGGAAGGAAGGAAGGAAGAAACCACAAGAAGUGUGAGUAGAAACACAGGCCCUGAAGUCAGCCUCUCUAGGUUUGAAUCCUAGCUCCCAGCAAGGACUCUGAGACCUUGUGCAAGUAAUAUGAAUGUCUCUGUGGCUCAUUUUCUCCCAUUAUACAGUGAAGAAAAUAGGAUUAGGUUUAUAGGGUGGUUGUUCUGAAUAUUUAAUGAGAUAAUAGAGGAAUAAUUUAGUGGAGCUCCUAUUAAAUGAUAAAUGCUUUAAAAAAGUUAGCUAUUAUUGUUAUUAAAGAAAGGUGAUAUUCUUAUUCUCAAGAAUGAGACACUCUAAUAAAUAGUUUGUGUAUUUUAUUUUAUUCCACUUGAUUUUCCAAACAACUUAAUGAUGUAGGUAUUGUUAUUCUUAUUUUAUGGGCAAGAAUACAAAGAUUUUUAAAUAACAUAAUUAUGGUCACAUAAUAAAUGGAGUCAGAAUUUGAAUCCAGGUCUAUUUCUUCCCAAAAGUCAUACUCCUUCAGCUAGUCAAUCCUGAUUUAAUAAAUUAUUGAAUUCAAAGGCAAUAAACCCUUCUCUUCAUUUUUAAAAUUCUUGCCUGAAAUGAGAUAUUUCAAUUCAUAUUUAUCCUUUUCUUUCUUCUUGUGCUGUCUUUACUCUUUCUUUUCAUACCCAUUUGAUUUAGUGUUAUGAUGAGAUGGGUAAGUAUUUUCUUCUCAACCUGCAAAUUAACUUCUUAAGGCAAAAUUUCAUCCAUCUUUUUUUUUUUCCUUAUGUUGUUCUGCAAUACAAAUAGCUCAAAAUAGAGCUUGGCACUUAUUAACGGCUCAGAAAAUUAGCUUUUAUUAUAAGUGUUAUUAGUCUUUAUCUUUAUCGACUCUUUUAAAACAUCUACCUGACAACAUUUUGAUAUUUCUAGUCCUAAAUUAAAUUUCUCCUUGCUGUUAUCCAAAUGUUCACGCUUUUGAAAUAAAUUGCUCUUCUC
This is a long non-coding RNA of Pan troglodytes (chimpanzee), 3241 nucleotides long. RefSeq lists it as uncharacterized. The record is from RefSeq and is a predicted model, not a curated record. Lineage: Eukaryota; Metazoa; Chordata; Mammalia; Primates; Hominidae. The transcript is spliced from 5 exons.